UACGGAGGGUGCAAGCGUUGUCCGGAAUCACUGGGCGUAAAGGGCGCGUAGGCGGCUCAUGAAGGCUGUGGUGAAAGUCCGGGGCUCAACCUCGGAUCGGCCGUGGCGACUCGUGGGCUGGAGCACUGUAGAGGCGGGUGGAAUUCCGGGUGUAGCGGUGGAAUGCGUAGAGAUCCGGAAGAACACCAGUGGCGAAGGCGGCCCGCUGGGUCGAUACUGACGCUGAGGUGCGAAAGCGUGGGGAGCAAACAGG
Molecule: ribosomal RNA, 253 nt
Filed under: uncultured bacterium
Lineage: Bacteria
Description: partial 16S ribosomal RNA
Rfam family: Bacterial small subunit ribosomal RNA
Source: RNAcentral